CCUACGGGAGGCAGCAGUGGGGGAUAUUGCACAAUGGGGGGAACCCUGAUGCAGCGACGCCGCGUGGGUGAAGGAGUGCUUCGGCAUGUAAAGCCCUAUCGGCAGGGGAGAAGAAAGACGGUACCUGACUAAGAAGCCCGGGCUAACUACGUACCAGCAGCCGCGGUAAUACGUAGGGGGCGAGCGUUAUCCGGAUUCACUGGGUGUAAAGGGAGCGUAGGCGGCCAUGCAAGCCAGGGGUGAAAGCCCGGGGCCCAACCCUCGGACUGCGCUGGAAACUGUAAGGCUGGAGUGCAGGGGAGGUAGGUGGAAUGCGUGGUGUAGCGGUGAAAUGCGUAGAUAUUACGAGGAACACCAGUGGCGAAGGCGGCUUACUGGACUGUAACUGACGUUGAGGCUCGAAAGCGUGGGGAGCAAACAGGAUUAGAUACCCGGGUAGUC
This 441-nucleotide ribosomal RNA is filed under the name uncultured bacterium. Its description in RNAcentral is "partial 16S ribosomal RNA". It matches the Rfam family "Bacterial small subunit ribosomal RNA", at positions 338 to 795 of the family's 1533-position model. The record is from RNAcentral.